Gadus macrocephalus (Pacific cod) is the source of this 583-nucleotide long non-coding RNA. RefSeq lists it as uncharacterized. The transcript is spliced from 2 exons. The record is from RefSeq and is a predicted model, not a curated record. Lineage: Eukaryota; Metazoa; Chordata; Actinopteri; Gadiformes; Gadidae.
CCAACAGCUCAUCCUCAGGGGACAAGAAGAGGAAGAAGAAGGGGAAAGGGAGAAAGAAGCUAUCCAAGAGGGUUAAAAUGGAAAAAACACUGCAAAGAGCCCGGAAUCCCGAGCAGGCUUUGGCCCGGUACAAAAAGAUUCUUAAAUGCUACAAGAGGCUUGGAACCAUGUCUGGGGCAUUUCGAAAGGUCGGUGUUGACCGUAAUACAGUGGUGGUCAAUGCACCAAUCGCCGAGCUUUCCAUUGCUGCCCCAGACCAGUACAAGGAAGCUUUGAAAACGUAUACCCAUUCCACAAAAUUGAAAGCAUUUGCGGAACACUGUGCCUUGACAAUUCUAGGCGAUGUAGAAAUAGUUGACGCAGUCAACACGCUUAAAGCCAGUGGUAAGCUGCUACCACUGAAAAAGAAAUAAUUAUGUGCAUUUUGUAUUAUGCUUUACAAGUGUUCCUGUAAAGUAAUUUUUACAUUUUCUGUACAAUACCACUGUUCAUAUUUUAUCUGUAUUUUUUUGUUGUGUGUUCUUUGUUGAAAAGAAGAAUUUAUGUAGUUUAAAAUAAAUAUUUGUACGUUUUCAGCACUUCA